RNAcentral lists this ribosomal RNA (466 nucleotides) under uncultured bacterium. Its description in RNAcentral is "partial 16S ribosomal RNA". It matches the Rfam family "Bacterial small subunit ribosomal RNA", at positions 29 to 523 of the family's 1533-position model. The record is from RNAcentral.
AACAAUCGCUGGCGGUACGCUUACCACACUCAAGUCGUACGAACAAAAUUGGGGCUUGCUCCAAUUUUAGUGAGUGGCAAACGGGUGAGUAACACGUGGGAAUCUACCUAUCAGUACGGAAUAACAUUUGGAAACAGAUGCUCAUACCGUAUAUUCUCCAAGGAGGAAAGAUUUAGCGCUGAUAGAUGAGCCCGCUUAAGAUUAGGUAGUUGGUAGUGUAAUGGCCUACCAAGCCGACGAUCUUUAGCUGGUCUGAGAGGAUGAUCAGGCACCCUGGAACCGGUCCACGGCACAGACUCGCACGGGAGGCAGCAGUGGGGAAUGUUGGACAAUGGGCGAAAGCCUGGUCCAGCAAUACCGAGUGAAGGAUGAAGGCCAUAGGGUUGUAAAGUGCUUUUAGUUGGAAAGAUAAUGACGGUGCCAACAGAACAAGCCCCGGCUAACUCCGUGCCAGCCGCCGCAGUAA